This is a long non-coding RNA of Passer domesticus (house sparrow), 335 nucleotides long. RefSeq lists it as uncharacterized. The transcript has 2 exons. Lineage: Eukaryota; Metazoa; Chordata; Aves; Passeriformes; Passeridae. The record is from RefSeq and is a predicted model, not a curated record.
GGCCCUUCUGGUAGGUGUAUUUGGUUCUCUGAGAGCCAGGAUAAAUAGUGCCAAGUAUCUGCUGAGCUGAAUAGAUCAGUACACAAGCCAUUUCUUGCCAAUUUAUGAGGAUGCAUUGCAGUGAGGCUGAACCUACUUCUGUAGUUGAAAAGAGUCAAUUAAAACAGACAACAACACCAGCAAGCACACUAAGGUGUUGUGUGGGGAGGUUGGGUCUCUUCACCUCAAGCUCUAAAACCUGUUUCCCACUGUCAUGUGGUGCUGCAGGUACAGAUGUUCAACACGAGACAUCCUGGUUUUGAACUUCAGCUGAACAAAUGAAAACCUGAUUAUAA